This is a long non-coding RNA of Oncorhynchus keta (chum salmon), 772 nucleotides long. RefSeq lists it as uncharacterized. NCBI's taxonomy places the organism in Eukaryota, Metazoa, Chordata, Actinopteri, Salmoniformes, Salmonidae. The record is from RefSeq and is a predicted model, not a curated record. The transcript is spliced from 5 exons.
AGUAUAAUAUCAGUAUCUAAUGGUAUAAUAUCAGGAACAGUAGUAUAGUAUCAGGUACAGUAGUAUAAUAUCAGGUACAGUAGUAUAAUAUCAGGUACAGUAGUAUAAUAUCAGGAACAGUAGUAUAAUAUCAGGUACAGUAGUAUAAUAUCAGUAUCUACUGUUAUACUAUCAGGUACAGUAGUAUAAUAUCAGGUACAGUAGUAUAAUAUCAGGUACAGUAGUAUAAUACCAGGUACAGUAGUAUAAUAUCAGGUACAGUAGUAUAAUAUCAGGUACAGUAGUAUAAUAUCAGGAACAGUAGUAUAAUAUCAGGUACAGUAGUAUAAUAUCAGGUACAGUAGUAUAAUAUCAGUAUCUACUGUUAUACUAUCAGGUACAGUAGUAUAAUAUCAGUAUCUACUGUUAUAAUAUCAGGUACAGUAGUAUACUAUCAGGUACAGUAGUAUAAUAUCAGGUACAGUAGUAUAAUAUCAGGUACAGUAGUAUAUUAUCAGGUACAGUAGUAUAAUAUCAGGUACAGUAGUAUACUAUCAGGUACAGUAGUAUAAUAUCAGGUACAGUAGUAUAAUAUCAGGUACAGUAGUAUAAUAUCAGGUACAGUAGUAUAAUAUCAGGUACAGUAGUAUACUAUCAGGUACAGUAGUAUACUAUCAGGUACAGUAGUAUAAUAUCAGGUACAGUAGUAUAAUAUCAGGUACAGUAGUAUAAUAUCAGGUACAGUAGUAUAAUAUCAGGUACAGUAGUAUACUAUCAGGUACAGUAGUAUAAU